AACGAACGCUGGCGGCAUGCCUAACACAUGCAAGUCGAACGAGACCUUCGGGUCUAUUGGCGCACGGGUGCGUAACGCGUGGGAACCUGCCCUUAGGUUCGGAAUAACUCCCCGAAAGGGGUGCUAAUACCGGAUAAUGUCUUCUGACCAAAGAUUUAUCGCCUUUGGAUGGGCCCGCGUUGGAUUCGAUUGUUGGUAGGGUAAUAGCCGACCAAGGCGACGAUCCAUAGCUGGGCUGAGAGGAUGAUCAGCCACACUGGGACUGAGACACGGCCCAGACUCCUAUGGGAGGGAGCAGUGGGGAAUAUUGCACAAUGGGCGAAAGCCUGAUCCAGCAAUGCCGGGUAAGUGAUGAAGGCCUUAGGGUAGUAAAGCUCUUUUAACCGGGAUGAUAAUGACGGUACCGGGAGAAUAAGCCCCGGCUAACUACGUG
This 433-nucleotide ribosomal RNA is filed under the name uncultured bacterium. Its description in RNAcentral is "partial 16S ribosomal RNA". It matches the Rfam family "Bacterial small subunit ribosomal RNA", at positions 29 to 507 of the family's 1533-position model. The record is from RNAcentral.